RNAcentral lists this long non-coding RNA (2521 nucleotides) under Homo sapiens (human). RNAcentral describes it as "HSALNT0276491". The record is from RNAcentral. Lineage: Eukaryota; Metazoa; Chordata; Mammalia; Primates; Hominidae.
UGGUUUAUGAGUGUGGGUUUGGAACAUGAAUUUGCAAAGGGGACAGCCUGGGUAUUCUGUUCUCUGUUUUGCUGUGUGACCUUGGCUGGGUGUCUUUACUUCUCUGAGCUCCCAAUUCUUCAUCUGUGAAGUGGGUUAAUGAUCCCAUUUCUCAGGUCCAUUUGGAGGACUGAAUAUGAGAGUGUUAGGAAAACUACAGUGGACCAAAUAGGUGCUGAAUAAAUGAGAUGUUGUGUCAUGAUUUUUCCCCUGGUACUUUCUCUAAGGAGAUUGGUGAUGAGCCUGUCCUCCACUGUUCUGAAUACUCACUCAAGUUGGUAUGGUACUUUGCAGUUUGUUGCACAGGAAUUGCAUCAUCUUUGAAGAUGCCACGAAUUUUCUGCAACCUGCAAAGCAGGUUCUCUUCUCACACCUUUCAUCCAUCUCCGUCUGACCAAUUUCUCCCUGUCCUUUGGCUUGGCUCACAUAUCACUUCCUCUAGGACAGUGGUCAGCAAACUUAUUCUGUACAGAGCCAGACAGUAAAUAUUUUAGACUUCGUGGGGGCACCUGGUCUCUGUUGCCACGACUCAACUCUGUUGUCAAAGUGCAAAGAGGCACAAACAAUACACCAAUGAAUGAGCAUGGCUAUGUUUCAAUGAAGUGUGAUUUAUGGACACUGAAAUUUGAAUAUCGUAUACUUUUCAAGUGGCAUGAAACAUGAUUUUGAUUGUGUAAAACCAUUUAAAAGUGUAAAAACCAUUCUUAGCUUGUGAGCUGUAUGAAAGAGGCAGUGGGCCAGAUUUAGCCUGGGGGCAGUAGUUUGCUAAACCUUGCUCUGGGAGGUAAUUGCUGGUCACCCCCUGUCCUGUGGGCAGGCUACAUUAAGGGCCUUUCAUCAGGGUUUCCACAUCACAGCACUGACAACAGAACAUCCUAAUUACCUGUUAACUCCUCUGUGGACCACCAGCUCCUUGAGGGAAACACUGGGUUUUAUUCAUCACAAAACCCUCAGCACCAACACAUAGUAGGUAGUCGACAACUACAUAUUAAACAAGCCCGUGUGUGGAUGAAUGAACCUUUUAAGCAGCUCCACGUUGCAGAUAUAAGCUCCAUUUUACAGAUGUGGAAACGGAGGCUCAGAAAAGGAAAGGGAUUUUCUCAACAUCACGCAGCUGCAAACAUGACUGAGCUGGGGCUCAAACUCCCGAAAGAAGAAUGUUAAUUGAGCAAUUGCUAUGUGCCAGACACAGUGGUGCUUGGGGCUUCAUAUGCCUCAGUCCCCAUUUAUUGGACACCGCUGUGUGUCAGGACCUACCUGGGUCAUACCCCUUUAGGUUCAGAACAUUGGAUUUCUCACUGUGAGAGCACCAGGCUUGUCUUGCCCGUUGUUGAGUGCAAAGAACAAUUCUGGAAUGAUGAAUUCCUACCAUACCUGAGCUAGGCACUUUUCAAAUUUAAGUCCUUCAUCCUUGCUCACCACAUCCCAGAAGUGCAAUCUGCAAAUCAGCUUAAAAGGAAAUUAAUUAAUUUUAAAAAAAAGAAAGAAAAAAGCAAAAAACAGUGACAGCCAUCGCAGCAGCAGCAACAGCAGCAUCUGCUGAGUCAGAUCGGUUAUCCAUCCACAAUAAUCGAUGGCUCGUCAUCCAGCCAUUUCCCUCCUCCAAAUACACAAAUUAAUAAAGAAAGGGUCUGGGCUUGCAGACAACAGAAAGGGCACCCAAAGCAAAAUUGCCUCCGGCUGGGAAAAAGUCACCUCCCCAGAACGAUGCCCACGUCAGCUCUGCUGCCGAAGUGGGAGAUACUGGAGGUAAGUCCCAGUCUCAGCCAAGAGGGCUGCAGCCCACAAGGGCCCUGCAUGAGAUUAAGGUUGGUAAGAAGGAACGCCAGCUGUCUAAGGCAGGCCCUAGCUCUAAGUGGCUCCUGAGGUGUAUUUGGUUCCCAGCCCAAAUCGAGUGCCCCAGCGGCCCUGUUUUAUUAAGCAGGCCCAAGUGGCAGGAGGCUUUAGUCGGAGAAUGAGGCGCUUUACCACUCAUGCUGGCUUCUGGGCCGAGCCCCUUGGCCGCACUUCACAGGUCCCCAGCGCAGCCCCCCUUGGCGUAACCAUUGCGAAUCCACUUGUUGACGGUGGCCUGGUUGUAGGAUUUAAUGGUGGAAUAAUAUUUACACAGCAAACUCCUCCAGAGGUGUCCUAAACACCGUAAAUGGGAUUUUCGGAGCUUAGUGAGAGUUAGUGGACUCAAGACAGGAUAAUGUGGCAACUGGUGGCCCUAAUCUGAUCUGGCCCCUUCUGCACGGUGAAGACUUAGUGGGCGGAACUGUUUUCAGAGUUGGCAAAAGUUGCUUCUCACCGCUCCCUCCUCUCCCUUUCUUUCCCCUGUGAACUUUGAAAUAUUUUUAGCACUAUGUGGCCUGCAAUGGCUUCAUCUCAGCUGCUGUAGAUGCCAAUAAACCCCACACCCAUGCCUAUGGGACCAGCGAUGGACCUUUGAAAGGGGCAGCGAUGCAGGGAGAGUGAAGAGACUUGCUAGACAGAAAAGGCG